AUUAAACGCUGGCGGCAUGCCUUACACAUGCAAGUCGAACGGCAGCACGGGGGCAACCCUGGCGGCGAGUGGCGAACGGGUGAGUAAAGCAUCGGAACGUGCCCUGGAGUGGGGGGAUAACGUAGCGAAAGUUACGCUAAUACCGCAUAUCCUGUGAGCAGGAAAGCAGGGGAUCGCAAGACCUUGCGCUCUGGGAGCGGCCGAUGUCGGAUUAGCUAGUUGGUGGGGUAAAGGCCUACCAAGGCGACGAUCCGUAGCGGGUCUGAGAGGAUGAUCCGCCACACUGGGACUGAGACACGGCCCAGACUCCUACGGGAGGCAGCAGUGGGGAAUUUUGGACAAUGGGCGAAAGCCUGAUCCAGCCAUGCCGCGUGAGUGAAGAAGGCCUCGGUUGUAAGACUCUUCGCGGGAGAAUGCAUGGUAAUACCUCGUGUAGAUGACGGUA
RNAcentral lists this ribosomal RNA (445 nucleotides) under uncultured bacterium. RNAcentral's name for it is "bacterial SSU rRNA". It matches the Rfam family "Bacterial small subunit ribosomal RNA", at positions 29 to 477 of the family's 1533-position model. The record is from RNAcentral.